CACGUAGGGGGCAAGCGUUGUCCGGAUUCAUUGGGCGUAAAGAGCUCGUAGGCGGUUUGUCACGUCGGAUGUGAAAACCCGGGGCUUAACCCCGGGCCUGCAUUCGAUACGGGCUGACUAGAGUUCGGCAGGGGAGACUGGAAUUCCUGGUGUAGCGGUGAAAUGCGCAGAUAUCAGGAGGAACACCGGUGGCGAAGGCGGGUCUCUGGGCCGAUACUGACGCUGAGGAGCGAAAGCGUGGGGAGCGAACAGG
Molecule: ribosomal RNA, 253 nt
Filed under: uncultured bacterium
Lineage: Bacteria
Description: partial 16S ribosomal RNA
Rfam family: Bacterial small subunit ribosomal RNA
Source: RNAcentral